AGAUUGAACGCUGGCGGCAUGCCUUACACAUGCAAGUCGAACGGCAGCACGGGAGCAAUCCUGGUGGCGAGUGGCGAACGGGUGAGUAAUACAUCGGAACGUGCCCAAUCGUGGGGGAUAACGCAGCGAAAGCUGUGCUAAUACCGCAUAAGAUCUACGGAUGAAAGCAGGGGAUCGCAAGACCUUGCGCGAAUGGAGCGGCCGAUGGCAGAUUAGGUAGUUGGUGAGGUAAAGGCUCACCAAGCCUUCGAUCUGUAGCUGGUCUGAGAGGACGACCAGCCACACUGGGACUGAGACACGGCCCAGACUCCGUACGGGAGGCAGCAGGUGGGGAAUUUUGGACAAGUGGGACGAAAGCCUGACUCCAGCCAUGCCGCGUGCAGGAUGAAGGCCUUCGGUUAGUAAACGUGUCUUUUAGGUAACGGUAACGAAAACGUUACUUCUUUAC
This 448-nucleotide ribosomal RNA is filed under the name uncultured soil bacterium. RNAcentral's name for it is "bacterial SSU rRNA". It matches the Rfam family "Bacterial small subunit ribosomal RNA", at positions 26 to 472 of the family's 1533-position model. The record is from RNAcentral.